UUGGGUCUCCCAUACAGGGCGCUAGCCCGUCGGUGCUUUUGCACCGCGCCGUCCGCAGGCCUUUGGCCGUGAGGACAGAACUGAACAGGUUUCCAAGCAUUGUAAUAAGGUAUCUGCAUCUGAAUACAUAGGGUGUAAGAAGCGAACUCAGGGAACUGAAACAUCUAAGUACCUGAAGGAAAGGACAUCAACCGAGACUCCGUAAGUAGUGGCGAGCGAACGCGGACCAGGCCAGUGGCAAUGCUGAAUAAAGUCGAACACUUUGGAAAAGGUGGCCGUAGCGGGUGAUAGCCCCGUAGACGUAGAACAGGCAUUGUCCUUGAGUAGGGCGGGACACGUGAAAUCCUGUCUGAACAUGGGGAGACCACUCUCCAAGCCUAAGUACUCGUGCAUGACCGAUAGCGAACAAGUACCGUGAGGGAAAGGUGAAAAGCACCCCGACGAGGGGAGUGAAAUAGAACCUGAAACCGGAUGCCUACAAGCAGUCGGAGCCCGCAAGGGUGACGGCGUACCUUUUGUAUAAUGGGUCAACGACUUAGUGUAGCAAGCAAGCUUAAGCCGGUAGGUGUAGGCGUAGCGAAAGCGAGUCUGAAUAGGGCGUUUAGUUUGUUGCAUUAGACCCGAAACCGAGUGAUCUAGCCAUGAGCAGGCUGAAGGUUGGGUAACACCAACUGGAGGGCCGAACCCAUAUCUGUUGCAAUAGAUUGGGAUGACUUGUGGCUAGGGGUGAAAGGCCAAUCAAACUCGGAAAUAGCUGGUUCUCCGCGAAAACUAUUUAGGUAGUGCGUCGAUCGAAUACCCUCGGGGGUAGAGCACUGGAUGGGCUAUGGGGAACUCACCGUCUUACUGAUCCUAACCAAACUCCGAAUACCGAGGAGUACUAAUCGGCAGACACACGGCGGGUGCUAACGUCCGUCGUGAAGAGGGCAACAACCCUGACCUCCAGCUAAGGUCCCCAAGUCAUGGCUAAGUGGGAAAGGAUGUGAGGAUCCCAAAACAACCAGGAUGUUGGCUUAGAAGCAGCCAUCAUUUAAAGAAAGCGUAACAGCUCACUGGUCUAAAUAAGGGUCUUUGCGCCGAAAAUGUAACGGGGCUAAAGCCAUGCACCGAAGCUGAGGAUAAGACAGUCGUAGUGGCUGUUUUGUGGUAGCGGAGCGUUCCGUAAGUCUGUGAAGGCGGACCCGUGAGGGCUGCUGGAGAUAUCGGAAGUGCGAAUGUUGACAUGAGUAACGAUAAAGGGAGUGAGAGACUCCCUCGCCGAAAGACCAAGGGUUCCUGCUUAAAGUUAAUCUGAGCAGGGUUAGCCGGCCCCUAAGACGAGGCGGACACGCGUAGUCGAUGGGAACCACGUUAAUAUUCGUGGGCCUGGUGGUAGUGACGGAUCUCGUGUGUUGUACAUUCUUAUUGGAUUGAAUGUGCGGCGAAGAGGUUCCAGGAAAUAGCUCCACCGUAUAGACCGUACCCGAAACCGACACAGGUGGUCAGGUAGAGUAUACCAAGGCGCUUGAGAGAACUAUGUUGAAGGAACUCGGCAAAUUGCACGCGUAACUUCGGAAGAAGCGUGACCCCAUGGUACGCAAGUAUGAUGGGGUGGCACAGACCAGGGGGUAGCGACUGUUUAUCAAAAACACAGGGCUCUGCGAAGUAGCAAUACGACGUAUAGGGUCUGACGCCUGCCCGGUGCUGGAAGGUUAAAGGGAGGGGUGCAAGCUCUGAACUGAAGCCCCAGUAAACGGCGGCCGUAACUAUAACGGUCCUAAGGUAGCGAAAUUGCCUUGUCGGGUAAGUUCCGACCUGCACGAAUGGCGUAACGACUUCCCCGCUGUCUCCAACAUAGACUCAGUGAAAUGAAUUCCCCGUGAAGAUGCGGGGUUCCUGCGGUCAGACGGAAAGACCCCGUGCACCUUUACUAUAGCUUUACACUGGCAUUCGCCAAGGCAUGUGUAGGAUAGGUGGUAGGCUUUGAAGCGGGGACGCCAGUUCUCGUGGAGCCAUCCUUGAAAUACCACCCUUAUCUUCGUGGAUGUCUAACCGCGGUCCGUUAUCCGGAUCCGGGACAGUGUAUGGUGGGUAGUUUGACUGGGGCGGUCGCCUCCGAAAGAGUAACGGAGGCGCGCGAUGGUUAGCUCAGACCGGUCGGAAAUCGGUCGUCGAGUGCAAUGGCAUAAGCUAGCCUGACUGCGAGACUGACAAGUCGAGCAGAGACGAAAGUCGGUCAUAGUGAUCCGGUGGUCCCGUGUGGAAGGGCCAUCGCUCAACGGAUAAAAGGUACGCCGGGGAUAACAGGCUGAUGACCCCCAAGAGUCCAUAUCGACGGGGUUGUUUGGCACCUCGAUGUCGACUCAUCGCAUCCUGGGGCUGGAGCAGGUCCCA
Molecule: ribosomal RNA, 2373 nt
Filed under: Agrobacterium rubi
Lineage: Bacteria; Pseudomonadati; Pseudomonadota; Alphaproteobacteria; Hyphomicrobiales; Rhizobiaceae
Description: bacterial LSU rRNA
Rfam family: Bacterial large subunit ribosomal RNA
Source: RNAcentral